UGGAAUGAAUGGAUAUUAAACCUUUCUAUGAGUAUCAAUUGGAGGGCAAGUCUGGUC
Molecule: ribosomal RNA, 57 nt
Filed under: Alexandrium margalefii
Lineage: Eukaryota; Dinophyceae; Gonyaulacales; Pyrocystaceae
Description: partial Eukaryotic small subunit ribosomal RNA
Source: RNAcentral